RNAcentral lists this long non-coding RNA (832 nucleotides) under Rattus norvegicus (Norway rat). Its description in RNAcentral is "long non-coding RNA NONRATT024521". Lineage: Eukaryota; Metazoa; Chordata; Mammalia; Rodentia; Muridae. The record is from RNAcentral.
GUCUUGCCUGACCCCGUGAAGGCGAUGCCAAUCAUGUCCCGACCAGACAGAAUGGGUGUUGGGUGGAGGAUGCCCUUUUUCUUCAGGCCUCGAAGGAUAGCUGCAGGGAGCUUCAUUUCCUUGAAGCUCUUGAUGGGUGGCGGGAUACCGUCUCCUUCCACCAGGAUGUGGUACUUCUUCCGAACACGCUCAUGCUGCUCUUCUGACAUGCUCAGGAUAUAGCGCGGGGGUGUCCAACUAGUUUUGAUCGGAUCGUUGUAGGUAAUGCCUUUGCCCAUUUCCUUCACUGACAUCAAGGCUCGGCCUUCAGCCACACCCUCCAGAAUCUUUUCUUCUUCCUUCAGUUGCUUUUCCUUGGCGGACUCCUUGCGUGCUUCAGCCUUCUCUUUGAGGUGCUGGUGCUGAUCCAGGAGGCUGACAUUGGACUGAGGACCCAGCGUGAUAUUGUCCUCGUCUCCUCGGGGCUCACUGCCACUGCCACUGUCCUGUUGCUCUUCCUCUGCAGCUCCCUUGCGUCUUUGCUGCAGCAGCUUCUGGAGCAGAAGCUGCCUGCGCUGCCGCAAGGGCACGUAGGGCACGUAGUCCUCAUCUUCGUCCUUGGAGCGGCUCCCACCCGCAGUGGCUUGGUUCAGGCGAACUUGCUUCCGCUCAGGUUCCAAAUCCUCCAUCAUAGGCCACACAUGCGCAGUGUCAGGGCUGAAAAAACCACUUUUAAUUCUUUUUCAAUUCUCUCUGCCUGGCUUCCUUUCUGGCUUGGCCUGUGUUGACAAUAUAUUUGAUUUUCCUCUUCAGUAAAUAAAAAACAGAAGGACCACUGAGUCCUUUCUGAGAA